RNAcentral lists this ribosomal RNA (380 nucleotides) under uncultured eukaryote. Its description in RNAcentral is "partial 18S ribosomal RNA". It matches the Rfam family "Eukaryotic small subunit ribosomal RNA", at positions 592 to 976 of the family's 1831-position model. The record is from RNAcentral.
CAAUAGCGUAUAUUAAAGUUGUUGCGGUUAAAAAGCUCGUAGUUGGAUUUCUGCUGAAAACGACCGGUCCGCCCUCUGGGUGAGUAUCUGGCUCGGCUUUGGCAUCUUCUUGGAGAUCUGGUAUGCACUUGAUUGUGUGUCCAGCUAUCUAAGACUUUUACUUUGAGGAAAUUAGAGUGUUCACGGCAGGCAAACGCCUUGAAUAUAUUAGCAUGGAAUAAUAACAUAGGAUCUUCGUCCUAUUUUGUUGGUUUCUAGGGCUAAGAUAAUGAUUAAUAGGGAUAAUUGGGGGCAUCUGUAUCAACGCGUCAGAGGUGGAAUUCUUGGAUUGCGUUGCGACAAACUACUGCGAAAGCAUUUGCCAAGGAUGUUUUCAUUGA